CAGGAUGAACGCUAGCGGCAGGCCUAACACAUGCAAGUCGAGGGGUAGAGUUCUUCGGGACUUGAGACCGGCGCACGGGUGCGUAACGCGUAUGCAAUCUACCUUAUACAGGGGAAUAGCCCAGAGAAAUUUGGAUUAAUGCCCCAUAGUGUUAUCGAAUCGCAUGGUUUGAUAACUAAAGUUCCAACGGUAUAAGAUGAGCAUGCGUCCCAUUAGUUAGUUGGUAAGGUAACGGCUUACCAAGACAAUGAUGGGUAGGGGUCCUGAGAGGGAGAUCCCCCACACUGGUACUGAGACACGGACCAGACUCCUACGGGAGGCAGCAGUGAGGAAUAUUGGUCAAUGGGCGCAAGCCUGAACCAGCCAUGCCGCGUGCAGGAAGACGGUCCUAUGGAUUGUAAACUGCUUUUAUACAGGAAGAAACCCUCCCACGUGUGGGAGCUUGACGGUACUGUAGGAAUAAGGAUCGGCUAACUCCGUGCCAGCAGCCGCGGUAAUACGGAGGAUCCAAGCGUUAUCCGGAAUCAUUGGGUUUAAAGGGUCCGUAGGCGGCCUUAUAAGUCAGUGGUGAAAUCUCCUAGCUCAACUAGGAAACUGCCAUUGAUACUGUAGGGCUUGAAUUUUUGUGAAGUAACUAGAAUAUGUAGUGUAGCGGUGAAAUGCUUAGAUAUUACAUGGAAUACCAAUUGCGAAGGCAGGUUACUAACAAACGAUUGACGCUGAUGGACGAAAGCGUGGGGAGCGAACAGGAUUAGAUACCCUGGUAGUCCACGCCGUAAACGAUGGAUACUAGCUGUUCGGAGCAAUCUGAGUGGCUAAGCGAAAGUGAUAAGUAUCCCA
Molecule: ribosomal RNA, 840 nt
Filed under: Flavobacterium sp. AKB-2008-TE28
Lineage: Bacteria; Pseudomonadati; Bacteroidota; Flavobacteriia; Flavobacteriales; Flavobacteriaceae
Description: bacterial SSU rRNA
Rfam family: Bacterial small subunit ribosomal RNA
Source: RNAcentral